CUGUAAGCCGUUGAAGGUGGCCUGUGAGGGUUGCUGGAGGUAUCAGAAGUGCGAAUGCUGACAUAAGUAACGAUAAAGCGGGUGAAAAGCCCGCUCGCCGGAAGACCAAGGGUUCCUGUCCAACGUUAAUCGGGGCAGGGUGAGUCGACCCCUAAGGCGAGGCCGAAAGGCGUAGUCGAUGGGAAACAGGUUAAUAUUCCUGUACUUGGUGUUACUGCGAAGGGGGGACGGAGAAGGCUAUGUUAGCCGGGCGACGGUUGUCCCGGUUUAAGCAUGUAGGCGGAGGUUCCAGGUAAAUCCGGUACCUUUUAACGCUGAGGUGUGAUGACGAGGCACUACGGUGCUGAAGUAACAAAUGCCCUGCUUCCAGGAAAA
RNAcentral lists this ribosomal RNA (375 nucleotides) under Enterobacter cloacae. RNAcentral describes it as "partial 23S ribosomal RNA". It matches the Rfam family "Bacterial large subunit ribosomal RNA", at positions 1241 to 1616 of the family's 2925-position model. RNAcentral also lists the same sequence under 2 other names. Lineage: Bacteria; Pseudomonadati; Pseudomonadota; Gammaproteobacteria; Enterobacterales; Enterobacteriaceae. The record is from RNAcentral.